RNAcentral lists this non-coding RNA (23 nucleotides) under Bos taurus (domestic cattle). The record is from miRBase by way of RNAcentral. Lineage: Eukaryota; Metazoa; Chordata; Mammalia; Artiodactyla; Bovidae. RNAcentral also lists the same sequence under 1 other name.
AGAUCUUUGGUAAUCUGAUGGCU